This 253-nucleotide ribosomal RNA is filed under the name uncultured bacterium. RNAcentral describes it as "partial 16S ribosomal RNA". It matches the Rfam family "Bacterial small subunit ribosomal RNA", at positions 524 to 776 of the family's 1533-position model. The record is from RNAcentral.
UACGUAGGGGGCAAGCGUUGUCCGGAUUUAUUGGGCGUAAAGAGCGUGUAGGCGGUUAGGUAGGUCCGUUGUGAAAACUCGAGGCUCAACCUCGAGACGCCGAUGGAAACCAUCUGACUAGAGUCCGGAAGAGGAGAGUGGAAUUCCUGGUGUAGCGGUGAAAUGCGCAGAUAUCAGGAGGAACACCAAUGGCGAAGGCAGAUCUCUGGGCCGUAACUGACGCUGAGGAGCGAAAGCAUGGGGAGCGAACCGG